GUAGGUGGCGAGCGUUAUCCGGAAUCAUUGGGCGUAAAGAGGGAGCAGGCGGCAGUGCAGGUCUGCGGUGAAAGCCCGAAGCUAAACUUCGGUAAGCCGUGGAAACCGCACAGCUAGAGAGCAUCAGAGGAUCGCGGAAUUCCAUGUGUAGCGGUGAAAUGCGUAGAUAUAUGGAGGAACACCAGUGGCGAAGGCGGCGGUCUGGGGUGCAGCUGACGCUCAGUCCCGAAAGCGUGGGGAGCAAAUAGGAUUAGAUACCCUAGUAGUCCACGCCGUAAACGAUGAGUGCUAAGUGUUGGGGGUCAGACCUCAGUGCUGCAGUUAACGCAAUAAGCACUCCGCCUGAGUAGUACGUUCGCAAGAAUG
This 366-nucleotide ribosomal RNA is filed under the name uncultured bacterium. Its description in RNAcentral is "bacterial SSU rRNA". It matches the Rfam family "Bacterial small subunit ribosomal RNA", at positions 527 to 896 of the family's 1533-position model. The record is from RNAcentral.